UACGUAGGGGGCAAGCGUUAUCCGGAUUUACUGGGUGUAAAGGGAGCGUAGACGGCAGCGCAAGUCUGGAGUGAAAUCCCAUGGCUUAACCAUGGAACUGCUUUGGAAACUGUGCAGCUGGAGUGCAGGAGAGGUAAGCGGAAUUCCUAGUGUAGCGGUGAAAUGCGUAGAUAUUAGGAGGAACACCAGUGGCGAAGGCAGCAUACCGGCGCCCGACUGACGCUGAAGCACGAAAGCGUGGGUAUCGAACAGG
This 253-nucleotide ribosomal RNA is filed under the name uncultured Eubacteriales bacterium. Its description in RNAcentral is "uncultured Clostridiales bacterium partial 16S ribosomal RNA". It matches the Rfam family "Bacterial small subunit ribosomal RNA", at positions 524 to 776 of the family's 1533-position model. The record is from RNAcentral. Lineage: Bacteria; Bacillati; Bacillota; Clostridia; Eubacteriales.